This 259-nucleotide unclassified non-coding RNA is filed under the name Hevea brasiliensis (rubber tree). Lineage: Eukaryota; Viridiplantae; Streptophyta; Magnoliopsida; Malpighiales; Euphorbiaceae. The record is from RNAcentral.
AGAGCCUAGUUCAAUUGGAUUGAAUAAAUAAAGUUGAAGGAGGAAACAGAACUCUUAACCCAAAGUCACAAAGAGGAAAAAUAAAAUUUUGAAAUGAAAAUAGGUAGGUCUAUUUUGAAUGGGAAGAAAACAUAAUUCAGUAUACCCAAUUCAUAUAAUUCAAUAUAUUGAAACAUAAAAUUGAAAUCAAACCAAAACUGAACAGAAUCGCUUCAAGAAUAAGCCCACCAAAAAUAAAUAAUAAAAACCCUAAUUCAAG